RNAcentral lists this long non-coding RNA (4100 nucleotides) under Homo sapiens (human). RNAcentral's name for it is "HSALNT0142353". Lineage: Eukaryota; Metazoa; Chordata; Mammalia; Primates; Hominidae. The record is from RNAcentral.
GGGGAAGCAAAAAACAGAAAUUUGGUCUCUGGUAGUGGGUCCACUUCCACCCCAUUUCAGACUCUACAGACCAAGCUUGCCUGCAGCCUGUACCUCCAAAAUGUGGAGGUGGGGAGGUCUAAGAAAGAGGGGGAUCACUUGCAAAUAUAAGGAAAUCAGACGCACCCGGUGCUACAGAAAUGGGCCAGGAGAAAACUCAGCAUUUUGACUGGGAUUUUGUUCCAACCAAGCAACUCUCUUCUACUUUCGUUGUGUACGGUUGGCACCAGAGAAAACUCUUCAAAGAACUACAGGGGGCCGGGCGCAGUGACUUAUGCCUGCAAUCCCAGCACUUUGGGAGGCUGAGGUGGGCAGAUCACUUGAGAUCAGGAGCUCAAGACCAGCCUGACCAACAUGGUGAAAUCUGUCUCUACUAAAAUACAAGAAUUAGCUGGGUGUGGUGGCUCACGCCUGUAAUCCCAGCUACUCGGGAGGCUGAGGCAGGAGAAUCGCUUGAACCUGGGAGGCAGAGGUUGCAGUGAGCCAAGAUCACACCACUGCACUCCAGUCUGGGGGACAGAGCAAGACUCUGUCUCAAAAAAUAAAUAAAUAAAUAAAUAAAAGAAAUAUAGGGGAACAACCCAGCAUCAGCCCACAUGAAACUAUUAGGUUAGCUGCUAUAACAAAUAAACCACCAAGUUUUAACAGCUUAACACCUUAAGAACUGAGCUAUCUACGUAACAGUCCAAAGCUGUUAUUUCUGAUUGGUGGGUAGUUUUGCCCAUAUGGUGAUUAAGGGACCUGUUCCCUCCACCCGUGGCUCACCAGCCCCUAGACCUCAAAGGUUUCCGCAUUCACUGGCAGACAGGAAAUGACAAUAGAAGAAGCCCAGCCUGUAUCUUAAAAGCCCUGACCCAGAAGUUAGUGGCAUUCCAUCUGGUCUCAUUCAGUUGGUGAGAAGAGUCUUAUGGCUACCCCUAGAGAGAAAAUAGAAGAUAAAGUCCCUGACUGGACAUCUCCUCCCAGCAACAACUCCACACUAUGCAAAGCAGAAUACAAACUUUCAGUGGAUUGACAUUCAUCUCUACCAAAGAGCUCUUUUCUAAUUCACAUGAAGGUGAUUUCCUCCUUGCUAAAGCCCUGGAAAUCUAAAUUGGAAAGAAAGUUAGAAAUCUACUGUGACAUGCUACAAAUGCAGAUGUGCCACAAACACCACAGAAUGGUCAUCCAGCCAGUGCCAGAUCAUCAUGAGAAAGUUUUGUUAGAAAAGUUUUCCUUUCAUAGUCCCAGGUGAGCCAUCUGUUGCAACCCAGGAGUCGAAAUUCUCCUAAGAUUGAUUAUAAAAGGCAGUUAUAGAGGAAACUGUUUGAGUCUGCUGAAUUAAAAACAAACAGUGAGGCAUUCAACGACGAACAGAUCUGAUGGAUUAAAAUGCACCGAAGAAAGACAUCUCAAGCGAUGCCUGAAUAGGCCAAGUCAGAAUGAGAGGAAAUUUGGCCUGCAAUUUCCAAUCAAGGGAAAACUGGCAAAGCAACAGAAUUUGAGGCUUCCUCAGAUUUACACUUUAUCUGCUAAUUAGCAUUAACAUGCGUGGUAGAGGUAUCUCACCAGCUUGUGGCACAAUAAAAAACGGAAUGUGUUAUCACCACAGAAUGUGUAAUUACUUUAAGCACUGGCUGAAAAUUGCAGGGUACUUCAUUUCAGAAUUUGUAUAUAUUUAUUGUUAGAGAUAAACUUGUUGAAGUAUAUCUAAUCUAAUUUUAUGUUAUAAUUCCUGUUUAAGAUAAUUUUAGUGUCAGCAAGCCAAGAACUGAAGUAAAUACUGCCGUAAAUUGUAAUACAUUAAAAUACCAGAGAAAUACUUCCAUUCAGCCGUGACUUGAUUUGCUUAUUGUUUAAGGACAAAAAAUAAAAAAUUCUCAGAUUACAUCAACAUUGGAAAUAUAUACUGUUGGGUUGCCCCUACCAUGCAGGCCAUGCAGCUGAUGAAGUUUGCUAACCUUGACUCGCCCAGUUCCCUGGAAGUGUGAAUCACUUUUAAAAGAAUUGUAGAUUUCCGUUUCCCUUAGGUAAGAUUUAUUAUUUUUGUAAAAAUCUCCUUAAAUUGCUCUGUAUGUUCCCACAAGGGAAAUGCAUUAGGACAGAUUAUUUGGCUUUAAAUCAUAACUAGGUUAAUAUUUGUUGUGAGUUUGAUUUAAGACCUUGUUUAAAUUCCUCCUUAAAUUGUUAAGCAAGACAAUUUGGGGCUAUGAAAAGGAAACUAUACUGUGUUUUUCAGUAAUAUGAUAUUAUGGCACAGACUACCAAAUCAUGCAAAAGCAAUUUCUGAUUUUUCUACUAAUAGGGGAUUAUAGCUAAAGCAUUGUCGGCAUACAGACUGUGUAUUCUUUUAGCAACCUUCUAUCAAGCCUGCAAAACUUGGAAAAAUGUGGAGAUAAUGCUGCCUCCGAGGAGGGAAUGCUGGAUCUAACACUAUUUUUGUUUGGUAACUAUCAAUUUCUCUGCCUUUUUAUGCCCUUGUUUCACCAGGAGAGAGAAGAGAGAGGGGGGAAAAAAGGAUAUACAAGGAUGCAUGGUUCACAAUGCCAAUGCCUGUAUUCAUAUAAUUUGUGUUAAUAAGAUGUAAAAACCUUCUUACGUUUUCUCCCAGUUGUCUGUCUACUGUUCCUCUGAGGAAGGCAUGAAAUUAAGGAUCCCAUUGGAUAGAUCUUAUUAUGAUUCAUCUGGAAAGAGCCCUAGGAUUUUAAUGUCUGCCCGUUGCCCUCCCUGUUGUGUGAAAAAUGGUGGGAGCUAAUGAGCCCUUGAAUGACUCUGGCCAUCUCAGAACACUGAUGUAUUGGUUGUCUAAGAGCCUUCUUCCUACGUGUAGCAAUAAUGAAGCUACAUAAAUGGAAAGUCCUGAAACUUCGAAAUUCUUUUUCUGGAGAAGUAGCUUCACACAGCACAUUUAAAGCACAACUGAAUUUUUCUUUUCAUGGCUGCUUUUUUAACAUGGAAAAUUUAUAUUUUCUGUAAUACUGAUUCCUAAUUAAUAUCUUAGCACCAAGUUCAGCAUAUUAAAGGCAGGACUGGUAUAUAAACAAAACCUGAGUGGCUCUGUGAUAGAAUAGGAGUGAGCAGACUUGAGAUCUUCCCUAGAGCUGAGGGAAACCAGGAAGGGGCAACGGUAGCAGCAAUUCAUGUGGUUUACUCUAGUGGCCAAAAGCAUUGAAAAGGUGUUAGCCCUGCUGCUCUGGCUAGACGCCAGUGAAGUAUUUAUAAGAUGCUGCCUCUGAUUCCUUCUAUGACUGUAAAAGUUUGGGGGAGAAGGGGACCUUUCUUUCCAGGCCUCAUUCCUUGCCUCUUGAGCAGUGCUGUGAUGUGUCCGGGGAAGCAGCUAUCCUUAUUUCACCUCUGAAGCUGUUUCACCUCAAAGAGGCUAUGAUUUCCCCUAAUGCAAUAGCUGGCCAUUCUCUUGCUGAAUGUGGAAAGUACUUUGGAAUCCUAUGGCAAGAAAGCAACUAAAGACAAUUUGAAGUCACAACUGUCCACAUCAUGUGAAAAUCAACACUCUUUUCCAAACCAGCAGCUAGAACAAGAAGUUGACUUGAGGAUGUUGACUCAAUACUGAUGGGUAAUUUUAGGACCUUUUCUAGGGAUACCUCCUGUCUUAGUCCAUUCAAGCUGCUAGGACAAAAUACUAUAGACUGGUGACUUAUAAAUAACAAACAGUUAUUGCUGAGUUCUGCAGUCUGGGUAGUCUAAGAUCAAGGUUCUAGUAGACCCAGAGUCUGGUGAGGUCUUACUUUCUUGUUCAUAGAUGGUUCUAUGUCUUCUCACUGUAUCCUCACAUGGUAGAAGGGGUGAGAGAGCUUACUGAGGUCUCUUUUAUAAGGGCAUUAAUCUCAUUCAUGAGGGCUACAUUCUCAUAACCUAAUCACCUCGCCAGAGCCCCACCUCCUAAUACCGUCACAGUAAUGAUUAAGUUUCAACAUAUGAAUUUUGUGGGGACACAAACAUUCCAUCUAUAGUACCUUCACAUGCAAACUAUUUCCAAAAUAAGACUUUCUGUGUGUGCAUGGGGACUUACCACAGUUCAUAAGAAGCAGUAUGAGCUGUUGGGCAUAAACAGAGCUUUCUUU